CCCUUAGAUGUUCUGGGCCGCACGCGCGCUACACUGAUGAAUGCAACGAGCUCUACCCUUGACCGAAAGGCCCGGGUAAACUUGUGAAACUUCAUCGUGAUGGGGAUAGAUUAUUGCAAUUAUUAAUCUUCAACGAGGAAUUCCUAGUAAGCGCGAGUCAUCAGCUCGCGUUGAUUACGUCCCUGCCCUUUGUACACACCGCCCGUCGCUCCUACCGAUUGAAUGGUCCGGUGAAAUCUUCGGAUUGCUGACCAAGAUCCAGCAAUGGAGCUUGGUUGCGAGAAGUUGAUUAAACCUUAUUAUUUAGAGGAAGGAGAAGUUGUAACA
This 327-nucleotide ribosomal RNA is filed under the name uncultured eukaryote. Its description in RNAcentral is "partial 18S ribosomal RNA". It matches the Rfam family "Eukaryotic small subunit ribosomal RNA", at positions 1470 to 1796 of the family's 1831-position model. The record is from RNAcentral.